RNAcentral lists this ribosomal RNA (1578 nucleotides) under Klebsiella pneumoniae. Its description in RNAcentral is "16S ribosomal RNA". It matches the Rfam family "Bacterial small subunit ribosomal RNA". Lineage: Bacteria; Pseudomonadati; Pseudomonadota; Gammaproteobacteria; Enterobacterales; Enterobacteriaceae. The record is from RNAcentral.
AGAGUUUGAUCAUGGCUCAGAUUGAACGCUGGCGGCAGGCCUAACACAUGCAAGUCGAGCGGUAGCACAGAGAGCUUGCUCUCGGGUGACGAGCGGCGGACGGGUGAGUAAUGUCUGGGAAACUGCCUGAUGGAGGGGGAUAACUACUGGAAACGGUAGCUAAUACCGCAUAANNNNNNNNNNNNNNNNNNNNNNNNNNNNNNNNNNNNNNNNNNNNNNNNNNNGUCGCAAGACCAAAGUGGGGGACCUUCGGGCCUCAUGCCAUCAGAUGUGCCCAGAUGGGAUUAGCUAGUAGGUGGGGUAACGGCUCACCUAGGCGACGAUCCCUAGCUGGUCUGAGAGGAUGACCAGCCACACUGGAACUGAGACACGGUCCAGACUCCUACGGGAGGCAGCAGUGGGGAAUAUUGCACAAUGGGCGCAAGCCUGAUGCAGCCAUGCCGCGUGUGUGAAGAAGGCCUUCGGGUUGUAAAGCACUUUCAGCGGGGAGGAAGGCGGUGAGGUUAAUAACCUCAUCGAUUGACGUUACCCGCAGAAGAAGCACCGGCUAACUCCGUGCCAGCAGCCGCGGUAAUACGGAGGGUGCAAGCGUUAAUCGGAAUUACUGGGCGUAAAGCGCACGCAGGCGGUCUGUCAAGUCGGAUGUGAAAUCCCCGGGCUCAACCUGGGAACUGCAUUCGAAACUGGCAGGCUAGAGUCUUGUAGAGGGGGGUAGAAUUCCAGGUGUAGCGGUGAAAUGCGUAGAGAUCUGGAGGAAUACCGGUGGCGAAGGCGGCCCCCUGGACAAAGACUGACGCUCAGGUGCGAAAGCGUGGGGAGCAAACAGGAUUAGAUACCCUGGUAGUCCACGCCGUAAACGAUGUCGAUUUGGAGGUUGUGCCCUUGAGGCGUGGCUUCCGGAGCUAACGCGUUAAAUCGACCGCCUGGGGAGUACGGCCGCAAGGUUAAAACUCAAAUGAAUUGACGGGGGCCCGCACAAGCGGUGGAGCAUGUGGUUUAAUUCGAUGCAACGCGAAGAACCUUACCUGGUCUUGACAUCCACAGAACUUUCCAGAGAUGGAUUGGUGCCUUCGGGAACUGUGAGACAGGUGCUGCAUGGCUGUCGUCAGCUCGUGUUGUGAAAUGUUGGGUUAAGUCCCGCAACGAGCGCAACCCUUAUCCUUUGUUGCCAGCGGUUAGGCCGGGAACUCAAAGGAGACUGCCAGUGAUAAACUGGAGGAAGGUGGGGAUGACGUCAAGUCAUCAUGGCCCUUACGACCAGGGCUACACACGUGCUACAAUGGCAUAUACAAAGAGAAGCGACCUCGCGAGAGCAAGCGGACCUCAUAAAGUAUGUCGUAGUCCGGAUUGGAGUCUGCAACUCGACUCCAUGAAGUCGGAAUCGCUAGUAAUCGUAGAUCAGAAUGCUACGGUGAAUACGUUCCCGGGCCUUGUACACACCGCCCGUCACACCAUGGGAGUGGGUUGCAAAAGAAGUAGGUAGCUUAACCUUCGGGAGGGCGCUUACCACUUUGUGAUUCAUGACUGGGGUGAAGUCGUAACAAGGUAACCGUAGGGGAACCUGCGGUUGGAUCACCU